GUCUUUGUAGUAUAAUUAUUACACUGGUCUUGUAAACCAGAAAUGGAGAUUCACACCUCCCUAAGAUA
This 68-nucleotide transfer RNA is filed under the name Blarinella quadraticauda (Asiatic short-tailed shrew). RNAcentral describes it as "tRNA-Thr". It matches the Rfam family "tRNA". Rfam says of the family: Transfer RNA (tRNA) molecules are approximately 80 nucleotides in length. Their secondary structure includes four short double-helical elements and three loops (D, anti-codon, and T loops). The record is from RNAcentral. Lineage: Eukaryota; Metazoa; Chordata; Mammalia; Eulipotyphla; Soricidae.